UGUUACUCCGGUAGCACAUAUAUAAAAUUGGAACGAUCGAAGAAGAUUACAUGCCCCGCGCAAGGAUGACACGCAAAUUCGUGAAGCGUUCCUUCUUUAU
RNAcentral lists this small nuclear RNA (100 nucleotides) under Larimichthys crocea (large yellow croaker). The record is from RNAcentral. Lineage: Eukaryota; Metazoa; Chordata; Actinopteri; Sciaenidae.